This is a long non-coding RNA of Peromyscus californicus insignis, 1075 nucleotides long. RefSeq lists it as uncharacterized. NCBI's taxonomy places the organism in Eukaryota, Metazoa, Chordata, Mammalia, Rodentia, Cricetidae. The transcript is spliced from 3 exons. The record is from RefSeq and is a predicted model, not a curated record.
CAGACGUGUUGACGUUUCUGGAGCGGCGAGCUGGGCGGGCCUUAGGGUCUGCGGUGCUCGGUGGCCAGCCGGGGAUCUCGGCGCCCCCUGGCGGGUUUCUCCUGCGCUGCUUGAGCAGGCGAGGGCGUUCUUGGCGAUGGCGCCUUUCGAGCAGCGGAGCAUGUCGGGAAAAUAUUACUGAAGUGUUGGAAUGAAGAGAAUUGCAACUUUGAGGGGAAGGGUGAUGAUGAAGGACAAAGAGCAACAAGACAACUGCUGUCCCAGUGAAAGGACACACCCCAUGGACAAGGAUGCAGUGCCCAUGAAUCCAGCUGCUCCUCAUCACAAUGGGAGACUUAUAGCAGUGAAAAUAGAACAACUUCCUCAUCCUGUACCAUUAACCAUCACAGUGAAGAACAUUUGUUUUAAAGGCAGGAUGUCAUUAUAUAACCUGUGAUGGGUAUUUUUGGCUGUCAACUUGACUACAUCUGGAAUUAACUGAAACCCAAGCAACUGGGUACACCUGUCAAGGAUUUUUUUUAUUAAUCAUUUGAAGUAGGAAGACCUACUUCAUUUUUUUGUUGUUAUUUUUAUUUUUUAUUUUUGGUUUUGAGACAGGAUUUUUCUGUGUAACAGCUCUAGCUGUCCUGGUACUGGCCUCAAACUCACAGAGUUCCACCUGCUUCUGCCUCCUGAGUGCUGGGAUUAAAGAUGUGUGCCACCAUGCCAGGCAGGAAGACCCAUUUUUAAUUUGGAUCUUUUGAGGUGGGAAGAUGUACCCUUAAUACAGCUCUUUUGAGGUGGGAAGAUCCACCUUUGAUCAGGGCCACACCUUCUGCUUGAAGCCUAUGUAAAGGACAUGGUAGAAGGAAGCUUGCUCUUUGCCUGCUUGCUCUUGCUCUAGUUAGCAAGUCCAUUCCUUCGCUGCCAUAGAGUGUACUUCUUUGGGAUUCAGUGUAUGCUGAAGAUUAGCUGAGACAUCAAACUUCAUGGACUGAACAACUGCUGGUUUCUUGGACCUUCUGGUAGACAACUAUUGUUGGGCUAGCUGGACUACAACCUGUAAGCCAUUUUAAUAAAUCCCACAUACAUUUUU